Molecule: ribosomal RNA, 253 nt
Filed under: uncultured bacterium
Lineage: Bacteria
Description: partial 16S ribosomal RNA
Rfam family: Bacterial small subunit ribosomal RNA
Source: RNAcentral
GACGAGGGAUCCUAGCGUUGUUCGGAAUCAUUGGGCGUAAAGAGCAUGUAGGCGGCCUUGUAAGUCAGUUGUGAAAGCCCCGGGCUCAACCCGGGAAGUGCAAUUGAUACUGCUUGGCUUGAAUGUGGAAGAGGGUAGUAGAAUUCCAGGUGUAGCGGUGAAAUGCGUAGAUAUCUGGAGGAAUACCGGUGGCGAAGGCGGCAUCCUGGACCGAGAUUGACACUAAAGCGCGAAAGCCAGGGGAGCAAACGGG